This 436-nucleotide ribosomal RNA is filed under the name uncultured bacterium. RNAcentral's name for it is "partial 16S ribosomal RNA". It matches the Rfam family "Bacterial small subunit ribosomal RNA", at positions 29 to 507 of the family's 1533-position model. The record is from RNAcentral.
AGCGAACGCUGGCGGCAGGCUUAACACAUGCAAGUCGAGCGGGCAUCCUUGUGGUGUCAGCGGCAGACGGGUGAGUAACGCGUGGGAACGUGCCCUUCGGUUCGGAAUAACUCAGGGAAACUUGAGCUAAUACCGGAUACGUGCGAGAGCAGAAAGGUUAUCUGCCGAAGGAUCGGCCCGCGUCUGAUUAGCUAGUUGGUGAGGUUAUGGCUCACCAAGGCGACGAUCAGUAGCUGGUCUGAGAGGAUGAUCAGCCACACUGGGACUGAGACACGGCCCAGACUCCUACGGGAGGCAGCAGUGGGGAAUAUUGGACAAUGGGGGCAACCCUGAUCCAGCCAUGCCGCGUGAGUGAUGACGGCCUUAGGGUUGUAAAGCUCUUUUCUCCGGGACGAUAAUGACGGUACCGGAGGAAUAAGCCCCGGCUAACUUCGUG